Molecule: ribosomal RNA, 253 nt
Filed under: uncultured bacterium
Lineage: Bacteria
Description: partial 16S ribosomal RNA
Rfam family: Bacterial small subunit ribosomal RNA
Source: RNAcentral
UACGGAGGGUUCAAGCGUUAUCCGGAUUCACUGGGUUUAAAGGGUGCGUAGGAGGACAGGUAAGUCAGUGGUGAAAUCUCCGAGCUUAACUUGGAAACUGCCGUUGAUACUAUCUGCCUUGAAUAUUGUGGAGGUGAGCGGAAUAUGUCAUGUAGCGGUGAAAUGCUUAGAUAUGACAUAGAACACCAAUUGCGAAGGCAGCUCGCUACACAUAUAUUGACUCUGAGGCACGAAAGCGUGGGGAUCAAACAGG